GAUGAACGCUAGCGGCAGGCCUAAUACAUGCAAGUCGAGGGAGAAUGUUGGAUUCGUCUGACAUGAAACCGGCGCACGGGUGCGUAACACGUAUGCAACCUACCUUUAACUGGGGUAUAGCUCAGAGAAAUCUGAAUUAAUCCCCCAUAAGACUACGACAUGGCAUCAUGAUGUAGUUAAAGCUCCGGCGGUUAAGGAUGGGCAUGCGGUACAUUAGCUUGUUGGUGAGGUAAUGGCUCACCAAGGCUACGAUGUAUAGGGGGUCUGAGAGGAUGAGCACCCACACUGGUACUGAGACACGGACCAGACUCCUACGGGAGGCAGCAGUAGGGAAUAUUGGUCAAUGGACGCAAGUCUGAACCAGCCAUGCCGCGUGAAGGAUGAAGGCCCUAUGGGUCGUAAACUUCUUUUAUUAGGGAAGAAAAAACGGGAUGCGUCCUGUACUGACGGUACUUAAUGAAUAAGGAUCGGCUAACUUCGUGCCAGCAGCCGCCGUAA
RNAcentral lists this ribosomal RNA (498 nucleotides) under uncultured bacterium. RNAcentral describes it as "partial 16S ribosomal RNA". It matches the Rfam family "Bacterial small subunit ribosomal RNA", at positions 28 to 523 of the family's 1533-position model. The record is from RNAcentral.